Molecule: ribosomal RNA, 488 nt
Filed under: uncultured Acholeplasma sp.
Lineage: Bacteria; Bacillati; Mycoplasmatota; Mollicutes; Acholeplasmatales; Acholeplasmataceae
Description: bacterial SSU rRNA
Rfam family: Bacterial small subunit ribosomal RNA
Source: RNAcentral
GCUACAGAAACGUAAAGGAAGUUGACGGGACCCCGCACAAGCGGUGGAUCAUGUUGUUUAAUUCGAUGAUACGCGAAGAACCUUACCAGGUCUUGACAUCCCCCGCGAUGCUUUAGAGAUAAAGCGGAGGUAUUCGGGGAGACAGGUGGUGCAUGGUUGUCGUCAGCUCGUGUCGUGAGAUGUUGGGUUAAGUCCCGCAACGAGCGCAACCCCUAUUGCUAGUUACCAUCAUUAAGUUGGGGACUCUAGCGAGACUGCCAGUGAUAAACUGGAGGAAGGUGGGGAUGACGUCAAAUCAUCAUGCCCCUUAUGACCUGGGCUACAAACGUGAUACAAUGGCUGGAACAAAGGGAUGCGAAGCAGUGAUGUGGAGCGAAACCCAUAAAAACAGUCUCAGUUCGGAUUGAAGUCUGCAACUCGACUUCAUGAAGUCGGAAUCGCUAGUAAUCGCGGAUCAGAACGCCGCGGUGAAUACGUUCUCGGGGUUU